Molecule: unclassified non-coding RNA, 336 nt
Filed under: soil metagenome
Description: partial contains 5.8S ribosomal RNA, internal transcribed spacer 2, and large subunit ribosomal RNA
Rfam family: 5.8S ribosomal RNA (bases 1-120)
Source: RNAcentral
GAUGAAGAACGUAGCGAAAUGCGAUAAGUAAUGUGAAUUGCAGAAUUCAGUGAAUCAUCGAAUCUUUGAACGCACAUUGCGCCCGCCAGUAUUCUGGCGGGCAUGCCUGUUCGAGCGUCAUUUCAACCAUCAAGCCCCAGGCUUGUGUUGGGGACCUGCGGCUGCCGCAGGCCCUGAAAACCAGUGGCGGGCUGGCUGUCACACCGGGCGUAGUAGAUUUUAUCUCGCUCAGGGCGUGCUGCGGGUUCCGGCCGUUAAAAAGCCUUUUUUACCCAAGGUUGACCUCGGAUCAGGUAGGAAUACCCGCUGAACUUAAGCAUAUCAAUAAGCGGAGGA